This 253-nucleotide ribosomal RNA is filed under the name uncultured bacterium. RNAcentral describes it as "partial 16S ribosomal RNA". It matches the Rfam family "Bacterial small subunit ribosomal RNA", at positions 524 to 776 of the family's 1533-position model. The record is from RNAcentral.
UACGUAGGUCGCGAGCGUUGUCCGGAAUUAUUGGGCGUAAAGAGCUCGUAGGCGGCUUGUCACGUCGGGUGUGAAAGACCGGGGCUUAACUCCGGUUCUGCAUUCGAUACGGGCUAGCUAGAGUGUGGUAGGGGAGAGCGGAAUUCCUGGUGUAGCGGUGAAAUGCGCAGAUAUCAGGAGGAACACCGGUGGCGAAGGCGGAUCUCUGGGCCAUUACUGACGCUGAUGCACGAAAGCUAGGGGAGCAAACAGG